CAUGUUACCAUAAGAAUGAAAUUUAAGUAAAGUAGGUAGUCUAGAUUCUAACAUUGCUUACCUUUAACAGCUAUUUGGAGCGGCCUGUUCAAAUUUGUAGCCAGCAACAGGUCAACUACACUUCUUAUAUUGUAAGUACCUCGGUUUCACAGGCUCCAGGCGCAAACUUGUGACUUCUCUUGACACUUCCAAUGGAGAAAUGAA
Molecule: long non-coding RNA, 204 nt
Organism: Helicoverpa armigera (cotton bollworm)
Lineage: Eukaryota; Metazoa; Arthropoda; Insecta; Lepidoptera; Noctuidae
Exons: 2
Source: RefSeq, a predicted model, not a curated record